AAGGAGCUUGCUCCUUUGACGUUAGCGGCGGACGGGUGAGUAACACGUGGAUAACCUACCUAUAAGACUGGGAUAACUUCGGGAAACCGGAGCUAAUACCGGAUAACAUAUUGAACCGCAUGGUUCAAUAGUGAAAGGCGGCUUUGCUGUCACUUAUAGAUGGAUCCGCGCCGUAUUAGCUAGUUGGUAAGGUAACGGCUUACCAAGGCAACGAUACGUAGCCGACCUGAGAGGGUGAUCGGCCACACUGGAACUGAGACACGGUCCAGACUCCUACGGGAGGCAGCAGUAGGGAAUCUUCCGCAAUGGGCGAAAGCCUGACGGAGCAACGCCGCGUGAGUGAUGAAGGUCUUCGGAUCGUAAAACUCUGUUAUCAGGGAAGAACAAAUGUGUAAGUAACUGUGCACAUCUUGACGGUACCUGAUCAGAAAGCCACGGCUAACUACGUGCCAGCAGCCGCGGUAAUACGUAGGUGGCAAGCGUUAUCCGGAAUUAUUGGGCGUAAAGCGCGCGUAGGCGGUUUUUUAAGUCUGAUGUGAAAGCCCACGGCUCAACCGUGGAGGGUCAUUGGAAACUGGAAAACUUGAGUGCAGAAGAGGAAAGUGGAAUUCCAUGUGUAGCGGUGAAAUGCGCAGAGAUAUGGAGGAACACCAGUGGCGA
RNAcentral lists this ribosomal RNA (660 nucleotides) under Staphylococcus sp. 3UB. RNAcentral's name for it is "bacterial SSU rRNA". It matches the Rfam family "Bacterial small subunit ribosomal RNA", at positions 73 to 718 of the family's 1533-position model. The record is from RNAcentral. Lineage: Bacteria; Bacillati; Bacillota; Bacilli; Caryophanales; Staphylococcaceae.